CCUACGUGAGGCAGCAGUUGGGAAUCUUGCACAAUGGGGGAAACCCUGAUGCAGCGACGCCGCGUGAGUGAAGAAGUAAUUCGUUAUGUAAAGCUCUAUCAGCAGGGAAGAAAAUGACGGUACCUGAGUAAGAAGCCCCGGCUAACUACGUGCACGCAGCCGCGGUAAUACGUAGGGGGCAAGCGUUAUCCGGAUUUACUGGGUGUAAAGGGAGCGUAGACGGCAGUGCAAGUCUGGAGUGCAAGGCGGGGGCUCAACCCCCGGACUGCUCUGGAAACUGUACGGCUGGAGUGCAGGAGAGGUAAGUGGAAUUCCUAGUGUAGCGGUGAAAUGCGUAGAUAUUAGGAGGAACACCAGUGGCGAAGGCGGCUUACUGGACUGUAACUGACGUUGAGGCUCGAAAGCGUGGGGAGCAAACAGGAUUAGAUACCCGGGUAGUC
This 440-nucleotide ribosomal RNA is filed under the name uncultured bacterium. RNAcentral's name for it is "partial 16S ribosomal RNA". It matches the Rfam family "Bacterial small subunit ribosomal RNA", at positions 338 to 795 of the family's 1533-position model. The record is from RNAcentral.